UACGUAGGGUGCGAGCGUUGUCCGGAAUUAUUGGGCGUAAAGGGCUCGUAGGCGGUCUGUCACGUCGGGAGUGAAAACUCAGGGCUUAACCCCGAGCCUGCUUCCGAUACGGGCAGACUAGAGGUAUGCAGGGGAGAACGGAAUUCCUGGUGUAGCGGUGAAAUGCGCAGAUAUCAGGAGGAACACCGGUGGCGAAGGCGGUUCUCUGGGCAUUACCUGACGCUGAGGAGCGAAAGUGUGGGGAGCGAACAGG
RNAcentral lists this ribosomal RNA (253 nucleotides) under uncultured bacterium. RNAcentral describes it as "partial 16S ribosomal RNA". It matches the Rfam family "Bacterial small subunit ribosomal RNA", at positions 524 to 776 of the family's 1533-position model. The record is from RNAcentral.